Molecule: ribosomal RNA, 254 nt
Filed under: uncultured bacterium
Lineage: Bacteria
Description: partial 16S ribosomal RNA
Rfam family: Bacterial small subunit ribosomal RNA
Source: RNAcentral
UACGUAGGGAGCAAGCGUUGUCCGGAAUUACUGGGCGUAAAGAGCUCGUAGGCGGUUUGUCGCGUCUGCUGUGAAAACUGGAGGCUCAACCUCCAGCCUGCAGUGGGUACGGGCAAACUAGAGUGCGGUAGGGGGAGAUUGGAAUUCCUGGUGUAGCGGUGGAAUGCGCAGAUAUCAGGAGGAACACCGAUGGCGAAGGCAGUGUCCUGGGGAGUACCUGACGCUCAGGUGCGAAAGCCAGGGGAGCGAACGGG